CCUACGAGGGGCAGCAGUGUGGAAUAUUGGUCAAUGGGCGCGAGCCUGAACCAGCCAAGUAGCGUGAAGGAUGACUGCCCUACGGGUUGUACACUUCUUUUAUAAAGGAUUAAAGUGAGGAACGUGUGCCUUUUUGUAUGUACUUUAUGAAUAAGGCUCGGCUAACUCCGUGCCAGCAGCCGCGGUAAUACGGAGGAUCCGUGCGUUAUCCGGAUUUAUUGGGUUUAAAGGAAGCGUAGAUGGGUUGUUAAGUCAGUUGUGAAUGUUUGCGGCGCAACCGUAAAAUUGCAAUUGAUACUGGCAGUCUUGAGUACAGUUGAGGUAGGCGGAAUUCGUGGUGUAGCGGUGAAAUGCUUAGAUAUCACGAAGAACUCCGAUUGCGAAGGCAGCUUACUAAACUGCCACUGACAUUGAUGCUCGAAAGUGUGGGUAUCAAACAGGAUUAGAUACCCGUGUAGUC
RNAcentral lists this ribosomal RNA (460 nucleotides) under uncultured bacterium. Its description in RNAcentral is "partial 16S ribosomal RNA". It matches the Rfam family "Bacterial small subunit ribosomal RNA", at positions 338 to 795 of the family's 1533-position model. The record is from RNAcentral.